CCUACGGGAGGCAGCAGUGAGGAAUAUUGGUCAAUGGACGAGAGUCUGAACCAGCCAAGUAGCGUGAAGGAUGACUGCCCUAUGGGUUGUAAACUUCUUUUAUAAAGGAAUAAAACGAGGCACGUGUGCCUUUUUGCAUGUACUUUAUGAAUAAGGAUCGGCUAACUCCGUGCCAGCAGCCGCGGUAAUACGGAGGAUCCGAGCGUUAUCCGGAUUUAUUGGGUUUAAAGGGAGCGUAGAUGGGUUGUUAAGUCAGUUGUGAAAGUUUGCGGCUAAACCGUAAAAUUGCAAUUGAUACUGGAGGUCUGAAGUACAGUGGAGGUGGGAGGAAUUCGGGGUGUGGCGGUGAAA
RNAcentral lists this ribosomal RNA (351 nucleotides) under uncultured bacterium. Its description in RNAcentral is "partial 16S ribosomal RNA". It matches the Rfam family "Bacterial small subunit ribosomal RNA", at positions 338 to 686 of the family's 1533-position model. The record is from RNAcentral.